UAGAAGUCAGCCUGGAACCUUCUGUAAGGGAGUCAUCAACCUUUUAUAAGUUUUAAUACUGCAGUGCUUUCUUCAUCUACUUUGCAGUGAUAGCCUGCGCUCGAUGAGGGCAGUUCACGUAACAAAUGAGAAAGGAGUUGAAUCUUACUUACGCCCACAAUCCCUGAACAUGAAUAUGCUUAAAGCUUUCUCAAGCAUGGUGAUCUCAAAAAUCAAAAGGAUUGGGUUAUUUUGAUGAUCAAGAGCAUCUGUAACACAUCUGGCAUGUAGAAGAAAUCGAAAAGAAGAUGCUCACUUUCACCUCACCCUGCCCUAUUUGUCUCAGAUAACAUGUAUCACCGUCUGAUACGCAAUAGUAUAAGCUCUACACACUUGAUGUCUGGAUUCUGUGAUGAAUUCCAGAUGCCUAAAACAAUGCCUCUAAUAUUGUAGAAUGCUCUAAAAAUACAUGGAGAAUGAAUGAA
Molecule: long non-coding RNA, 464 nt
Organism: Herpailurus yagouaroundi (jaguarundi)
Lineage: Eukaryota; Metazoa; Chordata; Mammalia; Carnivora; Felidae
Exons: 2
Source: RefSeq, a predicted model, not a curated record